CCUACGGGCGGCAGCAGUGGGGGAUAUUGCACAAUGGGGGGAACCCUGAUGCAGCGACGCCGCGUGUGGGAAGACGGUCCUCUGGAUUGUAAACCACUGUCCCCAGGGACGAAAAUGACGGUACCUGGGGAGGAAGCUCCGGCCAACUACGUACCAGCAGCCGCGUUCAUACGUAGGGAGCGAGCGUUGUCCUGAAUUACUGGGUGUAAAGGGAGCGUAGGCGGGGAUGCAAGUUGGGUGUCAAAACUACCGGCUCAACUGGUAGUCGCACUCAAAACUGCAGCUCUUGAGUGAAGUAGAGGCAGGCGGAAUUCCUAGUGUAGCGGUGAAAUGCGUAGAUAUUAGGAGGAACACCAGUGGCGAAGGCGGCCUGCUGGGCUUUUACUGACGCUGAGGCUCGAAAGUGUGGGGAGCAAACAGGAUUAGAUACCCUAGUAGUC
This 440-nucleotide ribosomal RNA is filed under the name uncultured bacterium. Its description in RNAcentral is "partial 16S ribosomal RNA". It matches the Rfam family "Bacterial small subunit ribosomal RNA", at positions 338 to 795 of the family's 1533-position model. The record is from RNAcentral.